RNAcentral lists this ribosomal RNA (420 nucleotides) under bacterium. RNAcentral's name for it is "partial 16S ribosomal RNA". It matches the Rfam family "Bacterial small subunit ribosomal RNA", at positions 355 to 776 of the family's 1533-position model. The record is from RNAcentral.
UGGGGGAUAUUGCACAAUGGGCGAAAGCCUGAUGCAGCGACGCCGCGUGGGGGAUGAAGGCUUUCGGGUUGUAAACCUCUUUCGCUAUCGAACAAGGCCCGCUUAGGGUGGGUUGAGGGUAGGUGGAGAAGAAGCGCCGGCUAACUACGUGCCAGCAGCCGCGGUAAUACGCAGGGCGCGAGCGUUGUCCGGAAUUAUUGGGCGUAAAGGGCUUGUAGGCGGCUUGUUGCGCCUGCUGUGAAAACGCGGGGCUUAACUUCGCGCGUGCAGUGGGUACGGGCAGGCUUGAGUGUGGUAGGGGUGACUGGAAUUCCAGGUGUAGCGGAGGAAUGCGCAGAUAUCUGGAGGAACACCGAUGGCGAAGGCAGGUCACUGGGCCAUUACUGACGCUGAGGAGCGAAAGCAUGGGUAGCGAACAGG